UGUUAGUCACUUGCCACCCCGUGGACUGCAGCCCGCCAGGCUCCUCUGUCCAUGGACUUCUCCAGGCAAGAAUACUGGAGUAGGUUGCCAUGCCCUCCUCCAGGGAUCUUCCUGACCCAGGGAUCGAACCCUGGCUCUUGUAUUACAGGCGGAUUCUGAGCCACCAAGGAAGGCCAACAGAGACGGAAUCCAGGAACUGAGUCUCCAGGCUCAUGUGGAGGACAGGACAGCAGAUGAAGAGUUAAAGAAGACAGAGCUGGGGGUUAAACUUUCCAUCCAGCUCCCCAAGCUGACCCCUUACUCUCCUCCCCCUCAGGGGCUUCAUCUUCACCUGCCACUCAAAGAGAUACCAGAUUAUCAGUCGCUCAAAGCAUCAACGGAUUUUAGAAGAGGAAGUUCGGUGUGGUGACUAAGCAGAGAGCUUUGCAGUCAAGAGGUGAGUUCCUAACAGUUUCCGGGUCUGCCCCUUCUAACUGUGUGACCUUGGGCAAGUUACUUACCUUCUCUGAGCCUUUAGAUUCUGCAUCGUAAUAUGGGGCUAUUAGCAGUUCCCCACUUUGCAGGGCAUUGUGGGAAUUAAACAAAAUACCUAUAAAAUUAGGGCACACGUGUAGUUAUCUGCUAGACUAUAUCACCUCUGAGAGUGAAAGGAGGCAUUAUAAAUAAUUGUCGAGUGUCCUAGGACAGCCCCAGGCAAACCAGGGCAUAUGGCCACACUGUGAAGAGCGUACACAGGGCUUGCUUGAAUAUGAUGGUGAUAGGGACAGAGUAAAGGGACA
Molecule: long non-coding RNA, 779 nt
Filed under: Cervus hanglu yarkandensis (Yarkand deer)
Lineage: Eukaryota; Metazoa; Chordata; Mammalia; Artiodactyla; Cervidae
Description: lncRNA (ENSCHYG00000005583.1)
Source: RNAcentral